GAGCGAACGCUGGCGGCAGGCUUAAUACAUGCAAGUCGAGCGCCUGUAGCAAUACAGGAGCGGCAGACGGGAGAGUAACACGUGGGAACGUGCCCUUUGGUUCGGAACAACACAGGGAAACUUGUGCUAAUACCGGAUACGCCCUUACGGGGAAAGAUUUAUCGCCAAAGGAUCGGCCCGCGUCUGAUUAGCUAGUUGGUGGGGUAAUGGCCCACCAAGGCGACGAUCAGUAGCUGGUCUGAGAGGAUGAUCAGCCUCAUUGGGACUGAGACACGGCCCAGACUCCUACGGGAGGCAGCAGUAGGGAAUCUUGCGCUAAUGCGCGAAAGCGUGACGCAGCGACGCCGCGUGCGGGAUGAAGGCCCUCGGGUCGUAAACCGCUUUCGGCAGGGACGAAGCGAAAGUGACGGUACCUGCAGAAGAAGUCCCGGCUAACUACGUGCCAGCAGCCGCGGUAACACGUAGGGGACGAGCGUUGUCCGGAUUCAUUGGGCGUAAAGCGCGCGUAGGCGGCUCGGAAAGUCGGUCGUGAAAUCCUGGGGCUCAACCCCGGAACUGCGUCCGAUACUUCCGAGCUGGAGGCAGGUAGGGGAGAUCGGAAUUCCUGGUGUAGCGGUGAAAUGCGCAGAUAUCAGGAGGAACACCGGUGGCGAAGGCGGAUCUCUGGGCCUUGCCUGACGCUGAGGCGCGAAAGCUAGGGGAGCGAACAGGAUUAGAUACCCUGGUAGUCCUAGCCGUAAACGUUGGGUGCUAGGUGUGGGCGGAUAUCGACCCCGUCCGUGCCGAAGCUAACGCAUUAAGCACCCCGCCUGGGGAGUACGGCCGCAAGGCUAAAACUCAAAGGAAUUGACGGGGGCCCGCACAAGCGGCGGAGCAUGCGGCUUAAUUCGAUGCGACGCGAAGAACCUUACCUGGGCUUGACAUGCAGGGUGAAGCCGGUGAAAGCCGGAGCUCUACGGAGCCUGCACAGGUGGUGCAUGGCUGUCGUCAGCUCGUGCCGUGAGGUGUUGCCUUAAGUGGCGCAACGAGCGCAACCCUUGUCCUCAGUUGCCAGCGGGUCAUGCCGGGAACUCUGAGGAGACUGCCGGUGCCAAACCGGAGGAAGGUGGGGAUGACGUCAAGUCAUCAUGCCCCUUAUGUCCAGGGCUGCACGCAUGCUACAAUGCGCGAUACAGAGGGCUGCGAUCCCGCAAGGGGGAGCGAAUCCCAAAAAGUCGCGCUCAGUUCGGAUCGGGGUCUGCAACCCGACCCCGUGAAGUCGGAGUCGCUAGUAAUCGCGGAUCAGCAAUGCCGCGGUGAUACGUUCCCGGGCAUUGCACACAC
This 1323-nucleotide ribosomal RNA is filed under the name uncultured bacterium. RNAcentral's name for it is "bacterial SSU rRNA". It matches the Rfam family "Bacterial small subunit ribosomal RNA", at positions 27 to 1390 of the family's 1533-position model. The record is from RNAcentral.